UACAGAGGGUGCAAGCGUUAAUCGGAAUUACUGGGCGUAAAGCGUGCGUAGACGGUUACAUAAGUCAGAUGUGAAAGCCCCGGGCUCAACCUGGGAAUUGCAUUUGAGACUGUGUAGCUAGGGUGCGGAAGAGGGAAGCGGAAUUUCCGGUGUAGCGGUGAAAUGCGUAGAUAUCGGAAGGAACACCAGUGGCGAAAGCGGCCUGCUGGGCAGUUACUGACACUGAGGCGCGACAGCGUGGGGAGCAAACAGG
RNAcentral lists this ribosomal RNA (253 nucleotides) under uncultured bacterium. RNAcentral's name for it is "partial 16S ribosomal RNA". It matches the Rfam family "Bacterial small subunit ribosomal RNA", at positions 524 to 776 of the family's 1533-position model. The record is from RNAcentral.